CUGCUUGGUUUUGGCAGCACAUAUACUAAAAUUGGAACAAUACAGAGGAGAUUAGCAUGGCCCCUACGCAAGGAUGACACACAAAUUUGUGAAGCAUUCCACAUUUUU
Molecule: small nuclear RNA, 108 nt
Filed under: Aotus nancymaae (Ma's night monkey)
Lineage: Eukaryota; Metazoa; Chordata; Mammalia; Primates; Aotidae
Source: RNAcentral